UCCCAUACUCCUGCUUCUCCCCAACCCUAACUUCCCCGCCAAGCCUCUGCACUAUCAGCUGAAGCCCAUAGCACACACCGAGGACAAAGACUCCAUUGGCCUCGGCCCACUCGACGAAUCCGGCAGGGAAGCUCGGCGAGUCUGGGGUGUGGACCGAGUGGGGCCCGCCGGAGAGGAUGACGACCUUAGGGUUAAGGUCGGUGAUGGAUUUGAGAGAGCUAGUGCCGGAGAUGCAGAGGGAGAAGACGGAGAGGGAUCGAAUUCGGCGGG
RNAcentral lists this long non-coding RNA (270 nucleotides) under Prunus persica (peach). Its description in RNAcentral is "long non-coding RNA (PPER_LNC005437)". Lineage: Eukaryota; Viridiplantae; Streptophyta; Magnoliopsida; Rosales; Rosaceae. The record is from RNAcentral.